This 253-nucleotide unclassified non-coding RNA is filed under the name uncultured Alphaproteobacteria bacterium. RNAcentral's name for it is "contains 16S-23S intergenic spacer region". It matches the Rfam family "Bacterial small subunit ribosomal RNA", at positions 524 to 776 of the family's 1533-position model. Lineage: Bacteria; Pseudomonadati; Pseudomonadota; Alphaproteobacteria. The record is from RNAcentral.
UACGGAGGGGGCUAGCGUUGCUCGGAAUUACUGGGCGUAAAGGGCGCGUAGGCGGAUUUUUUAGUCAGGCGUGAAAGCCCCGGGCUCAACCUGGGAAUUGCGCUUGAUACUGGAAGUCUAGAGUUCUGGAGAGGGUGGUGGAAUUCCCAGUGUAGAGGUGAAAUUCGUAGAUAUUGGGAAGAACACCAGUGGCGAAGGCGGCCACCUGGCCAGACACUGACGCUAAUGCGCGAAAGCGUGGGGAGCAAACAGG